AUUGAACGCUGGCGGCAGGCCUAACACAUGCAAGUCGAGCGGAUGAAGGGAGCUUGCUCCUGGAUUCAGCGGCGGACGGGUGAGUAAUGCCUAGGAAUCUGCCUGGUAGUGGGGGAUAACGUCCGUACACGGGCGCUAAUACCGCAUACGUCCUGAGGGAGAAAGUGGGGGAUCUUCGGACAUCACGCUAUCAGAUGAGCCUAGGUCGGAUUAGCUAGUUGGUGGGGUAAAGGCCUACCAAGGCGACGAUCCGUAACUGGUCUGAGAGGAUGAUCAGUCACACUGGAACUGAGACACGGUCCAGACUCCUACGGGAGGCAGCAGUGGGGAAUAUUGGACAAUGGGCGAAAGCCUGAUCCAGCCAUGCCGCGUGUGUGAAGAAGGUCUUCGGAUCGUAAAGCACUUUAAGUUGGGAGGAAGGGCAGUAAGUUAAUAUCUUGCUGUCUUGACGUUACCAACAGAAUAAGCACCGGCUAACUUCGUG
Molecule: ribosomal RNA, 484 nt
Filed under: uncultured bacterium
Lineage: Bacteria
Description: partial 16S ribosomal RNA
Rfam family: Bacterial small subunit ribosomal RNA
Source: RNAcentral